AGUCCUGCAAAGCAAUCCGGCUCGAUCUCCUCCGGCCGCCAGCGAGUCAUUUGCGCCGCUUUCAUCUGAUUGACGCUUCAGGGCUUUUUUUUUCCUAAUUGAGUUAGACGUUUCUGAAUUACGCAUUUGGGUCCACGCAUCAUCCUUCCUUCAAGUUGGAUAUUCUGUGUUUCAUGUAUUUCCGCUUGUGCUUAGCCCGAGGGCAAUACUUUUCUCGAGUGCUGUUAUUUUAGGUUUUACUUUGGAAAACGGACAAUGCAGGUACUGUAGGUGUCACUUUGGAUUUUUACUAUUUUGUGGUAAGUAUGGAGUCGCCAUUUAUUUUCUAAAAAAAACCUUCCAUUUUAUGACGGUAGGAAAUUAUCUGACGGGCAGCGUGAUGAUGAUAAUUUUAGGUGUGUGUGUGUGCGCGCGCGCGCGAGCGUGUGUGUGUGUGCACGCCUCGCAAAAAUCAGACAUGCACAAAUAUAAAUGUUCACAUUAAUACUGUUGCCUCAAGUCUUCGGCCGGGAUUGAACAACUCACAAGAAGUAUCGCAGUGAAUUGAACGGUUUUAGUUGUAGUUUCCGCAUUUCGCAUUUGCGGGGUUUUCAGUAAACAUAACAGUUCUAUAGAACCAAGCGGAGACAUGAGGGUUGGCUUCACAUCUGCUGGUCGGGGGCUAGUGUCUCGGGAUGGACACCUGUCCGUUUGUAAGAACCUGCUUUAAACGGUCCUACAAGGGGAGUCCUUACGCUCAACUAAAGAAGAUCUUUAAAAUUAACCGAGAUAGAUCGAAAAGCACAUUCAUUAUCUCAUCAUUGUUGAUUGGGAUGACGAUUCAAAAACUCUUAUAUAUAACGCAUAUUUCAGAGACGGCAGUUUGUGUUGACGGUUUUUAAAAUGACAUAUAUUUUUUUAUUUUUACAUUUUUUUACGGAUUACCAUUUAUGUAAAAUAAGACUUUUUCUGGCUGUUAACACUAAAAUUUAUGUGACCUUAAGGAAAUGAAACGUUUUAAUCUAUUAGUCAUAGUGGGGUUUACCCAAAAUAAUGCAGAUUUCUAAGUGUAUAUGUACAUAUAGGUAUUUCAGCACUGGGCAUGUAUGAAGGUAUUUUUGCUCCAGCUGUAUAUAAUGGUAUUUGGAUGCUUGUUGAUGUCAUUCAGGCGUGGGACUGCCUAUUUCAGGUCCUGGUGUAUGUGGAGAUAUUCUUUUCAGUGUAGAUGUGUUUGGAGGUAUUUAUGGUGUAGAUGUGUAUGGAGGUAUAUCAUUUGUGUAUUAUUACUGAGAUAUUUUGGGUUUGAUGCAUAUAGGGAUAUUAUAAGGGUAUGCGUGUAUGGGAAUUUUUCAGGUGUACAUAUUACUGGAGAUCUUUGAGCUUGAUAUCAAUUUUUUUUCAGGUCAGUGAAUAUUAUGUUUUAGUCAGUCAUAAGGUGUUAGGAAGGGUGAUUUUGUGUUUUUAGCAAAAGACAACGUUUCCCAUGAAUUCAAGUAUGAAGAGCCCAUUCCAUGGAUACACAAGAAAAUGUCAUGGACUAUAUCGUAAUAACUAAUUUGCUUUUAGUAAUUUAUUUUUUGCUAAAAAGAUGAAAGCAAAUACAGCACUGAAACCAAAAGGUGAUAUAGGGAUAUAUAUACAUUCUAGUAGCCAUUGUUGUGUAACUGAUUCAAAAACAGACAGUUUUUUGACAGUGCAUAAACUUCAAAUGUUCUUUGUUGUCCCUUAUUAGAUGCACCACUAUUCAUAUUAUUUAGAAUUCAGUUUUCAUUUAAUAAUUGUGCUCCUGUAUAUAUAAUUACAUUUAUUUUAUUCAGUAGACACUUGUUUAAUGUGUUGUACAAGUGAGGAAUAUAAUAUAUUUUGGUAAUAGUUUAAUGUAUUGGAGUCAGUUUCUGCUCGAGUACCCAAUGCAUAAAAAUGGACACAUAUACAGAUAUUGUUUUAAUGUUAUGCUAAAGACACACUAUAAUAUGAUCUAUACAUUUUGAAGGAUGGUGUAUCCUGCUUGUGUGACAGGAUUCCCCAGGGCACUUGUGCACCUGCACACAUACACACAGUCACAAACCAGGACCAGGAGGAAACCCACCCAACAGUGGGGAAGAUAUAUAAACCUCCACACGCAGCUGAGGCCAAAUUCAGCCGCCGGCUGCUCUGGACGUGACAGGCAGUCCAGUGAAGCCACAGCAUCACCUUAUAGUCAGAUAUCUAUAAACAGAAUUUGGCCAGCCGGCACAUACAGAUCUCACGCUCCUUAUCAAUACGGAUCACUGCGCCACACAUAAUAUAUUAUUCAUGCUAAAUCUCACCAGCAAAACACACAGAUGAUGUAAACGAUGUGCCCGUAGUUAGUAUGUUUUUCAUGGAAGACAUACUAUGGACAGGACUCUGGUGUGCUUGUGUGUGCGCACGCGUGUGUGUAUGUGUGUGUCUCUGCGUGUCAACAGGAGAGACAAAUAGGUCUUAAGAAGCUCCAUUACAAUCAACCUUAGCCUGAACUUUAGCACAGUGACUCUCAGCUGACUUAUAAUUCACCCUUUAUUUUGCAGAGCGAACCCCUGUAUGGGAAGCAGGAAAUUCAGCAGGACCUUAUCACCGCCUUCUGCUUGCCCUCGGAGCUAGAGGCCCAGUGCACCAGGGUCGCCAACACCCUGCGCUGAGUAACCCCCCCCCCCCAUAUUCGUAAGGAAUUAAAGACUUAACUUUCUAAAUCAAUUUCAAGAAACACAAACGAGAAGAGAUGCCUAACAAAAUUAAUUGUGCCUUCAUACACCUAAAACACAAAAUUAAAUAUGUUAAAUCAUGAAAAGGUAUUAUAAACAAAUGUUAAAAACUAAUAGUGGAAGCCUGGGAUAUUUAAAACUAUUUCAAAUUGAGUUUUAUGUUUAAUUUUUUUAUUUUUAUAAUGAUGAUGUAGUUUUACCUGUUUUUUUUUUUACUGGAACUGCUGGGGUUUGUGGAAAUAACAUGGGAUGGUGUGUUAUUUCAUUCUGAUAUAAUGAGUGAACUUCCCAAAAAGACUAUUUACUGUUCUUCGCCCAUUCAGCAUUCAUUGAUAUCGCUUACAAUCAAAGCAAACAGGAUUCUGGUUUCGGUCCACAAAGACCCCUGGCUUUCUGCCCAAAUACGGUAUCAUUUGUUCAAAGUUACUUUAAGUUUCAGAGUAGCAUCAUGACCCCGGGACGCCUAUGGGCGCGAAGCUUGCGACUGUAGGAUGCAGCUGUGCUUCAUUCAUGUCAUCAUUCUGCCGGCAGAGCAGAGCUUCAUCGGAGUGCUGCUCUCCCUGCAUGAUGUGCUCUUUCUGGUGGCACCCCCCCCCCCCAAAAAAAAAAAGAGUCUGAGUUAUUGUCUCCCAGCACCACACCUGUGCAGCAAUGUGAUACGAUCACACCUGUCAUCUCCAGCACUGAUGCUGCCUGUGAUACAUUUUGCAUAGAAGUUUGCUUUAGUGCCGUCACCGUACGCAGAGAGGGUACCAGGAAGGCUGGAAUUAGUGAUGGGGAAAAAAGAAUCCAUAAGCAAUAGAUUCCAUCUCCAUCCUGCAUGGAAUCACUCCACGCCAGUAAUCCAUCGCCUGUUGCUUUAUAGUGAAGGUGAAGGACAAUGGAGGAGGCUACACCUCCCCACCCCACGAUCGCUUUCCAGGGAACUUGCAAAUAAUACAACAUCGAUGUUAGUGCAUCAUUUACGUGACACGAGCAAAGGCCGUCACCCUCCCCCGCAUGUUCACUGUUGAGCAACCUCCAUUCUUAGCGGUCUCCUGCCACUUAGUGCACGUGAUCAUUGUUCACUUAUCGUAAAUGCUUUAACGUUAUAACGUGACAUAAGGGUGCCUGUGAUUUGUCACAUGUAUUAUUUUUUAUGUUGUAGGGGUUGGGUGAUUUUAUUCAUUUAUAUUAUUAUUAUUAUUAUCUUUAUUUGCAAUAUUAUUUUAUUUUCGUUUGGUAAGACCAAAACAGAACUGACAAAAGUGUUGAGUCUGUGCCGUUUGUCGUGCUCGUUAUGCUCUGAGCUUGAAGAGUUUCUAGAAGAACACGGAAACCAAUGAUGCCUGACUGCUACAGAGCUGCAUGCUUUCCUAAGGCUUUUCUGUGGUAUGCGUGGUGUCUAAAGCAGGAUUCAUAUUUCCUAUAACUGUUGUUUCGAGGUACGUUGUUAUGCUACAAACUGUAAUGAAACAGAAAUGAGCCGUGGGCUCCUAGAUCAGUAUGCUGGGCCAUUGGCUGCCACUCUUGCCUUGCCUUUGUCUUCGCUGCAUUUCCACCCAGGUGUUGUGCCAUCCUCACCGUGCUGGGCACUGCCCAUACCCCCCAGCAGGGCGGAGCCGUCCAGCUGUUCCGCCCUCUCUGGCUGCCCCAGUCAUCAUAAACGUUUGUUGAAGGUGGAGUGCUUUUCACACUGCGGGCAAACAGAAAGAACAAAGUAUGGCUGGUACCACAUCCUCAGAAACGGAAAGCCGCGCUGACGGCAACGUCUUCUGAUGGAAAGUGUUACCUGGUCGCGUGUGAGACACUGCAGCAGAACUGGCAGUUUCCUCGAGGUUUCUCCCUAAGGUGAAGUCAUGCCAGACGCAUCGAAAGCUUCAGGGAGGCCUUUGAUGGAACACAAGGCCUUCAAGGCUUUUCCAUUUUUGCGUGAAAGACUUUUCACACAGAAACAUCCACCUAAUCGAUAAUUAGAAAUACCGGCAAAUCAGCAGGAAGAUGUUUCACAUGAAUGUUCCAAAACCAGCAAGCAAUAUUAAUGGAUUAUUAACAUCCACAAUGCUGGUUUUAUCUGUUUAUCUAUGUAUUUGUUCAUUACAUUUUGGUAGAAAUGCUGAUACAGGAUUUGAUUUGUCUUUUAUUAAUGGUGAUACAUUGGCAGGCACAGUGACGUCAGUGAGUUACUUAACCAUUUGGCUUGGUUGCCAUGCGUGAUAUAAGAUUUUCGCUCUUUCUCUUAUCAGCCCAUUUGUUAAUGAUUAAUUUAUUUGCCGAGAGAAUAUAUUAGGAAUGUGUUUUUUUUUCUUAAAAACACAAAUGUUAUAUUUUGGUACAGAUAUACAAAAAGACAAAGAGCAGAUUGUCUCUACAAAUGUUAUGUAAUUACAUGAAUGCGAGAAUACAUUUAUUCAUGAACCAGACAAUUUUUAACGUCUCAACAUAAUUGUUGGUUUUCGUUAGAUCUGUCGCAUUGUUGUACGCAGAUAUGCAGGAGCUAUAGGCAGCUCCAGAUUUCACAUCUUUGUCGAAACAUGAUCUUCCAUGUUUGCCUUAUGUUCAAGCCCCAUAUCUGGUCACAGAAUCUGCAGAAUGUUCGCUAACGUUAACUAACACCGGCCUGCUUUCUGUGGUCUAGACGGUCCAUUGUGAAAGACACACUGUAAACGGAGAGGCGCUGAAAGUGCACACAGCUUCAGAGGAUCCUGGGGAGGAGGAAGAGGAGUUUGAAAGGCAAGAGGCUCACGCUUAUUUGUAUACGUGGGUUUCAGGACGUAUAGCUAGGCCUUGAUUAGCGUAAGCGAAGUCCCCGACUCAAAAACAAUCUGCACGCCUGAAACAAUCUGUUCAGUUCGAAGACAUGCCAGAUAUGUCUGACUGAAAAUCAAGACACAUUUGCGAGUUUUAAUGACUCCCUUCGCCUAACCCGUCAGCAUCUCCAUAAUGUGCAGCUAGUGGACACUAGGUGAGUGAUGAAUGAAAGACAGACACCAUUUCAUCAGUCACUGGUUGUAACUUAAUUGUUCCCAUAUUAGAAAACAUUUUCCUCUUUAAAAAGUCUCUGUGUUUUGACGUUUAAAAGACUAUUGCCAGAUGUAGUCAAUUUUGUAAUUUCAUUGUAGUUGGACAAAGCCUUCUUUGAACAAAAAAAAAAAAACAACCAAAAAAAAAACCUCUCAUCUGUUGUUAGAACUAAGUUCACAGUCAUCAGUUACUUGAGUUCUGAAACUAAUUGUUAUAAUCAUUAACAAGGGAUAUUAUUUUUAGUGGAAAAAAAAUAUCAAGGCAUUUUAGCUGAAAUGAGUUUGCUCUUUUGAGAAAUUGGCUGUAGGUCACAUGGUGUGACAGUCAGGCUUCAGCUGACAGCUUAUUCGCUAAACCGGACUGCCAGGUACGCUGUCCUCCGCCAUUCCAGAGAAUGUGUGCUUUGACUACGGAGCUGAUGAGGAUCUGUAAACUGAGACGGGAAUCGCACACUUAAAAGCGCGCCCUGACAAAUCUCCUCAACAUACAUACCAGAAAAUAACAUAAAUGCAGUUGUUAAAAAUGCAUGCAACAUUUCCGCUGUUGUGUAAGCAUGAAUCACAGAUGUUAAAAUAGCGAUCAUUAUAAUAAAUAAUACUAACUUAUGAAGGAUAAUAUUUCUAAAGCCAAAAUUGUUUGUAGAUGUGUACUGCAGGCUCUGCUUUGAAUCAGUUCUGCUCCUGUUAUCAAAUUUAAAGUCAUCUCUCAUAACUGUCAGUCAGAAGUUCAGCCUGUGCCUCUCAGACUCCACACUUGCUGGAGGAUGAGGUGUUCUUGAGUUCCCUCACCCAUCCCUUUGUCAAGCCGGCAUUGUCUUCAUCUUUUUCAGACCCAGCGUCAUCAUGAAAUAGGUCUGCCUCUUUUUUUUGGUAUUUGUUACCCUUUUCUGUCUCUUUGUGAACUGAAGCCAGACAGUGAGCUGGUGUUAGAUGACAUUAAGGCAGGGGACACAGAAUGCAGGGCAUCUUCCUGUGGAGCUCAGGGUGAUUGCAGUGGCAGCUGCCAGAAAAUGCAUCCCUCAAAUAUUAAUUUACCUGCUUACAAAAUAGAAAUAGGGCCCAUUUCAUCAGUAUAAUUGACUGGGGGAGACCAAAGCCAGACUUCUGCAGAUAGACCGGUGUUUCCCAAUCCGGUCCUCAGGAACUCGCAGACAGUCCACGUUUUUUCUCCCUCCCAGCUUCUUGCCAGUCCAGAGGGAGCAAAAAUGUGAAUGUCGGGCAGGGAGCUGGGAGGGAAAAAAAACGUGGACAGUCCGUGGGUCCCCGAGGACUGGAUUGGGAAGCACUGCAUUAGACUCAUUUCCUUGAUUACAAAAAGCAUCCUAACCUCACUACAAAAUGAGAAAACUAUCUAAUUAUUAGUCAAUUAAUCAGUCAAUACUUAUUUAUAAAGAGCUAGAGUGCUGUACCGGAUACAUGUAUAACAUUUCACUUAUCAAACAUUUUGAGGCACACUGUCUAUGGUGGGAAGCUGUCCUGGUAGAUAUAUAUAUAUAUAUAUUCAGCAAGAAAUACAUAGAAUAAUACUUUACUUUAGGGGGCACAAGUAACUUAGUAACUCAGUCACUACUCAAGUACAGUUCAAUAAAAAUAUGGACUGUUAUGAUUGAUUAAUGAUGAAUGAAUUUAUAUAUUAAGAGUGCACUACUACAUUAUUUGUGUCCCCUAGAGUAAAGUGUUACCACAUUUUUAAAUAAAUGAAAACAAGUAUGAGUUAAAUGUGUAAUAAGCACGGGGAUAAGCAGUCUGCAGUGACGCAGUGUGACUGUCCAUCACUGCGUGGCUUCAAAGACCUGGGCUCACGCUCCUCAGCGUUGUGCCAGCCCCGCCUCCGUGUCACUGCCGAGUUAAUGAUAAUAACAGAAAAAACUUGGAGUUAUUGGUGACGAUAAGGCAGAGAAAGAAGCCCAUUGUGCAUGCGAUGAAAGGCUCAUUGCUUGCUGCAAAGAUGCCAGGGUCAACCACGUCAAGAAUGUGUGCACCUAAUCUUCUGCUGAUCUUUAUCUGACUGACCCAGGCCAAAGUGGAGGUCUGAUGGAUGGACAAUGAGCCCUUGCGUUGUCCGGCAUGCCAUAGGAUGGCCUUCCAUAGCUACACGUCUAACUAAAACGUAGCUAUAUCUGUAUCUUGCUUUUUAAUAUUUUUCUUUUACUUCUGGCAGUUUCUGGAGUGACACAAUACAACGUUAAACGUGGGUGUGUUAAAGAGUGAAUAACUGAAGAAACACAAUAAAAUAUGGACUAACAAAUCACGGCGCGGAAUGUGGAAAGUAAACGAUUCACAUUUUUGCAGCUGUUCAGAAUGUACAUUAUUUACAUUACAGGCACUCAGGUUUGGAAAUAGAUAAAGCUGUGCAAUACUAUAAAUGUAUGGCAGUGUGUCACUUUUGGGAAUCGGGCAGAAGCCUGGAAUGUCCGAAAGCGGCUGCGGCCCGAGCACUCCUGGCCUCAGUACCGUCGCUGGCGUGUCCUGCCCACAGAUCGGGUUCCAGCGGUCACGGUCAGAACCCUCCCGCCUCUGAAAAUGAUAAUCUCCAGUGGCUAUCGGUGGCAUUUAAAAGGUUAAGCAGAUAAACGGCUGUUGUCAGAGCCGUCAUAAAACAAGACAAAUUGUAAUUUAACAGUGGGGAAACCUGAGCCGGCCCACUUUCUUCCCGGGGGUCCUUACGACACAGAUACACAGAUGUUCCCAGGUGUGCGCCCCCCCCCCCAGUACAUGGUGACUCACGCAAAGAGCACCGGGGUAGCGCCGCUCCUCCAGGUCCCCCUUAUCUGAAAUCAAACGCUGCGGCCCUCCCUCUCCCAGUCCUCCACGGCGAACAAACGCCGAUGUGUGGCUGCUUACGUCCCCGACAAAGGCCUGAUAUUUUAUACCCAACGGACCUGAAUAAAACCUGAUAUCGUGACAUUUGUGUUUGGCACGUCCCCGGGUACUCCACACUGCGAUGCUGUGCCACCUGCCACAUUAUUGGGCUCUUCUUUUAAGCACUAGUGCAAAAGAAAAAUAAAGAACAGCCCAAAAAAAUCAAAUGGAUAGAUAACUUAUUUAACGGGACACCCGCUUUCAUAAAAGUGUGCACUUUUCAGCAUGACAGCAAUGAGUAACUUAAUAAAAAUAAAUUUGCUUCUGGGGUCAUUAGUUGCCCAUAUUUGACAAUCAGUAAUUAAAGGCAGAUGGAAAUUACUUUAUCAAAACCAUUGAAUCUCUCAUCGCUUAAAAAAUGAAUAGAGAACAGAAACUCUGAAAUAUUAUGAAGUACAUCAAAUAGCUUGGCGUCCCAUGACCUUGCAGACAUAUUAGAAACAUUAGUUUAUGAAAUUGAGCAGAAUUUUAGCCUCAGUUUAAUUUCACCAACAGUAUUAAUAUACUGAUGUUCAGCUGUCAUACUCAGGUAUAUAUCAAAUUGUCAUCAUUGAGUUUAAAUGUCUGUUUAUUGUGAAUUCUGCAGCCUCAACUCAUAACAAAAUCAUUCCACAAACUGAGCGAUUCUUUGUUCUGUAGUAUGAAAAUACUGAUUUUACAAAUAUUUAAGAGCUGAAUUAAAAAAGUUAUUGAAAGUC
Paramormyrops kingsleyae is the source of this 9264-nucleotide non-coding RNA. The record is from RefSeq and is a predicted model, not a curated record. Lineage: Eukaryota; Metazoa; Chordata; Actinopteri; Osteoglossiformes; Mormyridae.